GAUGAACGCUGGCGGCGUGCCUAAUACAUGCAAGUCGAGCGAACAGACGAGGAGCUUGCUCCUCUGACGUUAGCGGCGGACGGGUGAGUAACACGUGGAUAACCUACCUAUAAGACUGGGAUAACUUCGGGAAACCGGAGCUAAUACCGGAUAAUAUAUUGAACCGCAUGGGUCACUAGUGAAAUACGGUUUUGCGGUCACUUAUAGAUUGAUCCGCGCCGCAUUAGCUAGUUGGUAAGGUAACGGCUUACCAAGGCAACGAUGAGUAGCCGACCUGAGAGGGUGAUCGGCCACACUGGAACUGAGACACGGUCCAGACUCCUACGGGAGGCAGCAGUAGGGAAUCUUCCGCAAUGGGCGAAAGCCUGACGGAGCAACGCCGCGUGAGUGAUGAAGGUCUUCGGAUCGUAAAACUCUGUUAUCAGGGAAGAACAAAUGUGUAAGUAACUAUGCAGGUCUUGACGGUACCGGAUCAGAAAGCCACGGCUAACUACGUG
RNAcentral lists this ribosomal RNA (497 nucleotides) under uncultured bacterium. Its description in RNAcentral is "partial 16S ribosomal RNA". It matches the Rfam family "Bacterial small subunit ribosomal RNA", at positions 28 to 507 of the family's 1533-position model. The record is from RNAcentral.